This 345-nucleotide ribosomal RNA is filed under the name uncultured bacterium. Its description in RNAcentral is "bacterial SSU rRNA". It matches the Rfam family "Bacterial small subunit ribosomal RNA", at positions 8 to 334 of the family's 1533-position model. The record is from RNAcentral.
AGAGUUUGAUUCUGGCUCAGGAUGAACGCUGGCGGCGUGCCUAACACAUGCAAGUCGAACGGAGUUAUUUUGGAAAUCUCUUCGGAGAUGGAAUCUUUAACUUAGUGGCGGACGGGUGAGUAACGCGUGAGCAAUCUGCCUUUAAGAGGGGGAUAACAGUCGGAAACGGCUGCUAAUACCGCAUAAAGCAUUGAAUUCGCAUGUUUUCGAUGCCAAAGGAGCAAUCCGCUUUUAGAUGAGCUCGCGUCUGAUUAGCUAGUUGGCGGGGUAACGGCCCACCAAGGCGACGAUCAGUAGCCGGACUGAGAGGUUGAACGGCCACAUUGGGACUGAGACACGGCCCAG